UGCUGUGCUCUUCCUCUGCACCCCACUCAUGCUUGGACAUGGUCCUCUAAGACUGACCCUGUGGCAUUUGCACCAGCAUAGGAGGACUGUUGGACUAGUAUUUUGGGGACAGAGUGGAGAGGACAGGUGUGCUGCUGGGUUGGAUAUGGGGUGUGAGAGAGCAAGCCCCUGUUCCUUUCUCCAGUUUCUCUCUGGUUUCUCUCCUAUCACUUUGCCCUAGGCCAGACACAGAGUAAGUAGUCUGUUAGUCAAAGAAGGUAACGGGCUCAGCACUUAAGUCUCCUGUCCAUAAGGCAUGGGAGGUGGGGCAUGCAAUCGCCAGUAAGACCUCUGGGCCCUUUCUGAGAAGCCAGGGCCGGGAUAUUCCAUGCUGGGCGAGGCCCUGGGUCAGGAGCUCUGUAACUAGGGGCCAGGACCAUUGAGCAGUAGAAAAACUUGCUAAACAGGGGUCUUGCUCUCUUUAAAAAACAAAUAAAAAAAACCCUAAACCAUUUUUCAUUGAGGUAAAAUAUAUAUAACCUAACAUUCGCCAUCUUCUCCAUUUUUAAGUGUAUAGUUCAGU
Molecule: long non-coding RNA, 562 nt
Organism: Lutra lutra (Eurasian river otter)
Lineage: Eukaryota; Metazoa; Chordata; Mammalia; Carnivora; Mustelidae
Exons: 3
Source: RefSeq, a predicted model, not a curated record